RNAcentral lists this ribosomal RNA (423 nucleotides) under uncultured bacterium. RNAcentral describes it as "bacterial SSU rRNA". It matches the Rfam family "Bacterial small subunit ribosomal RNA", at positions 355 to 776 of the family's 1533-position model. The record is from RNAcentral.
UGAGGAAUAUUGGUCAAUGGGCGAGAGCCUGAACCAGCCAAGCCGCGUGAAGGAUGAAGGUGCUCAGCAUCGUAAACUUCUUUUGUCAGGGAAUAACGGACGUCACGUGUGGCGUUAUGAAUGUACCUGAAGAAAAAGCAUCGGCUAACUCCGUGCCAGCAGCCGCGGUAAUACGGAGGAUGCGAGCGUUAUCCGGAUUUAUUGGGUUUAAAGGGUGCGUAGGCUGUCGGUUAAGUCAGCGGUGAAAGCCCGGGGCUCAACCCCGGCGAGCCGUUGAAACUGGUCGGCUGGAGUUGGUGAAAGGUAUGCGGAAUGCGCAGUGUAGCGGUGAAAUGCUUAGAUAUUGCGCAGAACUCCGAUUGCGAAGGCAGCAUACCGGUGCCACACUGACGCUGAGGCACGAAAGCGUGGGUAUCGAACAGG